GGGUGCAGUGCGGCAGUUUGUGCGGGCAGCUGAUCCCCUUCUAUGAUCAAGUGACCUGCCUGCUCCCAAGGCAGAAGAACCAUAAAGAGGGGAAGUAGGAAUUUCCUUUGAACUGAUGUUUCUAAGGUGACCUCUAGGAAUUAGCAGCAGACUGGACUAUAUGGACUUCUGGAGUGUUGACAGCUGAUAGAAAGGAAGAGCUGGGACAUAAACUCCAAACAAGGAUACUCACGAGGCACUUUGUUAGGGAACACUGAGAGACAGCUGGGUUUGUACUUCAGCAACUGGAAAAGGAAAUCUUCAAGGAAUGGGAACUGUGGUUGACAGUACUACCUGUGCUUCAAGAUACAGAAACAGAACUGAGAUUGACUUGGGAGUUCUGCUGAUCUACAAAGAAAGAAGCACCCCAGGUCUCUGGGAGAAGCUGUUAAUAUGCUGUCUGAAGCAGGGAUGAAGAUUACCGAACUCACAGGGAACUUAAGCCAAUGAAAAGUGUCAGAGUAACAUCUUUUUCAAACUUUAUUUGAGGUUUCUCAGAGGUGUUAUCCAGUCUCAUAUACCUCUAAGGCCAUAUUCAGGAUUGAUCCCCCUGAGUCCUCAUAUUUUGUGUACAGAUACAAUUACAUUCAACAACUGCCCCAUGCUUUGGGCAGACAUUCAGAUCAUGAUUUCUUUCCGUCAAAAAGCUGAGAACACUUCUCAUAUUCACUUCUCCUCAGAGGAUCUAAGCUGCUUAGAAAUUCAUGUUACUUCCCUCCCAGAGAAGAAGCUGUUAUUGCUUAUUAUUUCUUACUAGAAAUGGAAACCUGAUUGGGGAGCUAUGUAAGGGAAAAUGUAUUUCCUAACUGUUCUUUAUUUAUGCAUUUUCCACUGGAAAGCCUCCAGUGUUUUGGACUGACCCUUCCUGACAUUGAAGUGUUUCUGAUGAAAAAAAAAAUUUGUUAAGCAAAAAUGUUACAAGGGUUUUGUCCAAGUUUUCCACUUACUUCUUUUGGUUAUGCUUCGGAGGUCACCUUCUGCAAUCAAAGUGUGGAGCUGCGGCAGGACAGCAGAGGGAGGUAGUGCUCAAAAGAGGAAGAAAGGUUUGGACUGCCUCCACAGUGCAGCCGCCACCAGUAACCACUCAGUGAUUUGCGUUCAGGCCAGCAGCAGCCCUCCAUUGGAAAGAAAUAAAAAUUAUAACUAAAUUAAUUUGCUCCGUUAUGUGUGGAUAAGCACCGGUGUAAAUAAUUGGGAGCUCAUCACCUCUCUGCACUUCUCCGUUGGCCAACAGCAGCAGCGGCCUCCUGAAAUGGGCCCUGCUAACUUUGCUGGUGAUCCUGCCAGUAAGCCCGUUGCCUUGUUGGCAAUUCUGCUCAGGUAGCGACCUUGCUGGGUUACAGAGGCAUGCUGUACUGACUUUAUUAAGGUGUGCCCUUUAUUGAGAGUGUGUUUAGUGCAUGUGUUGGGUCUCUAAUUAAAAUGCUAAAAUAUGGUUCCAGGAGAAAGUUUAACAGAUUAUUAUCUUUCCUGCACAGAAGAAAGAGAGUGCUAGGACAUAUCUGUUUAAAGUGACUGUGCAAAUGACAUUUUGAUGUUCCAUAUUUAUAGUAUUAUCCGACAGUAACUUGCAUAUUAAGGGUUAGAUUAUACCAGAGCUGCCCCCGAAAGAGAUCAGAGAAUGAAUAUGAGUCAUGACCACUCUCCUCAGCCAUCAAGCCUGUACCCUCCUGUGCUUGCCCCAGCCAGGGAGAAAUUUUGACCGAGAUAGCCACAAUGCCACCUUCUUCCAUGCUGACCUACAUAUCCCUGGCAGUGCAGCUUUUUGCCCCUGCUUUUCAAGUAAAGAGCAGGAUCAGUAAUGUCUGAUCUGAAACCCAGGCUCUGGUUUUAACUUGCCUGUCCCUGUGUGUCUUGCUCUUGAGGGUGUUGUUAAUGACAUGAGAAGACCAACUCUUCCCCUUCCCACUGCAACAUCUGACUGUGUCAUGAGUCAUAAGCUCCUGGUUUUUCAGCAGAGAUGAUGUGAGUCUCCCUGCAUAAUUUGUUUCUUGCAUUUUAUCUUUUAAACUUUCUUACAAAUAUUUUUGGGGAAAAAAAGUAAUUAGAGAGCUCCUGUAAGCUCUCUACAUACUGCCAGUCAACUAACUGGUCAGAGGUGGCUGCAGCAGC
Non-coding RNA from Meleagris gallopavo (turkey), 2151 nucleotides. The record is from RefSeq and is a predicted model, not a curated record. Lineage: Eukaryota; Metazoa; Chordata; Aves; Galliformes; Phasianidae.